This 256-nucleotide ribosomal RNA is filed under the name uncultured bacterium. RNAcentral describes it as "partial 16S ribosomal RNA". It matches the Rfam family "Bacterial small subunit ribosomal RNA", at positions 74 to 334 of the family's 1533-position model. The record is from RNAcentral.
CAAUAUAAGUGAUGGCGACCGGCGCACGGGUGAGUAACACGUAUCCAACCUGCCGAUAACUCGGGGAUAGCCUUUCGAAAGAAGGAUUAAUACCCGAUGGUAUAAUAAAACCGCAUGGUUUAAUUAUUAAAGAAUUUCGGUUAUCGAUGGGGAUGCGUUCCAUUAGGCAGUUGGUGAGGUAACGGCUCACCAAACCUUCGAUGGAUAGGGGUUCUGGGAGGAAGGUCCCCCACAUUGGAACUGAGACACGGUCCAA